RNAcentral lists this long non-coding RNA (307 nucleotides) under Mus spicilegus (steppe mouse). RNAcentral's name for it is "lncRNA (ENSMSIG00000023423.1)". Lineage: Eukaryota; Metazoa; Chordata; Mammalia; Rodentia; Muridae. The record is from RNAcentral.
GGAAACCUUCAUGUAUACUCAGUAAACCCAAGCUUAGUCCAGUCUGGUAGUUCAUCCAUUACAGCUUUCACUUCAUAUUGAGACAAAUCAGCAGUUCCAUGAAGCAAUCAUCUCCAAUUGUUUGAGAAACUUAAAAGACUCUCAAAAACCUUUCAUAAAGGAAAUCUGAUGCAGGUUAGAAAAUUGAUAAGGAAUAUCAUCUAUAACUAGGUAAGUCUUGUUAUCAUAUAUAUUUACAUUCAUAUACAUAUAUGUAUUUAUUCCUAUGUAUGAACACAAACAUGAAAUAUUAACAAUGUAUAUCAUC